AAGUCUGACGGAGCAACGCCGCGUGAGUGAUGAAGGUUUUCGGAUCGUAAAGCUCUGUUGUUAGGGAAGAACAAGUACAAGAGUAACUGCUUGUACCUUGACGGUACCUAACCAGAAAGCCACGGCUAACUACGUGCCAGCAGCCGCGGUAAUACGUAGGUGGCAAGCGUUGUCCGGAAUUAUUGGGCGUAAAGCGCGCGCAGGCGGUCCUUUAAGUCUGAUGUGAAAGCCCACGGCUCAACCGUGGAGGGUCAUUGGAAACUGGGGGACUUGAGUGCAGAAGAGAAGAGUGGAAUUCCACGUGUAGCGGUGAAAUGCGUAGAGAUGUGGAGGAACACCAGUGGCGAAGGCGACUCUUUGGUCUGUAACUGACGCUGAGGCGCGAAAGCGUGGGGAGCAAACAGGAUUAGAUACCCUGGUAGUCCACGCCGUAAACGAUGAGUGCUAAGUGUUAGAGGGUUUCCGCCCUUUAGUGCUGCAGCAAACGCAUUAAGCACUCCGCCUGGGGAGUACGGCCG
This 518-nucleotide ribosomal RNA is filed under the name Niallia circulans. RNAcentral's name for it is "bacterial SSU rRNA". It matches the Rfam family "Bacterial small subunit ribosomal RNA", at positions 379 to 888 of the family's 1533-position model. The record is from RNAcentral. Lineage: Bacteria; Bacillati; Bacillota; Bacilli; Caryophanales; Bacillaceae.